Cucurbita pepo subsp. pepo (vegetable marrow) is the source of this 287-nucleotide non-coding RNA. The record is from RefSeq and is a predicted model, not a curated record. NCBI's taxonomy places the organism in Eukaryota, Viridiplantae, Streptophyta, Magnoliopsida, Cucurbitales, Cucurbitaceae.
UCAUCUUUUUUGAAUGUGAAGGCAAGAAGAACAAAGGAAAAUCUUCUUCCAGUUCAGGUUCUACAGCAUCAGGCGAUGCUAUGGUAGAGUAAAAUAGCUUUGCAAGAAAAUGUUCUAAAAAAGAUAAAGAUGUAGAUUGCAUUGAAUGAGAAGCCCAUGACUAAAUGCUUGAAGCUAAGAUUACGGCUCCAAUUGAAAUCAUGAGCAAACCUCAAAACUCUCCAAACAGCUCCAAUUUAUUGUUAUUAUUAUUACCCAACUUUUAAACAACUUACGGUUUUAAUCUU